GCUAUUGAGGGCGAUCUGGCUGCGACAUCUGUCACCCCAUUGAUCACCAGGGUUGAUUUGGCUGACCUGGCUGGCUAGGCAGGUAUCUCCUUCCUCCCUCACCGCUCCAUGUGCGUCCCUCCCGAAGUUGCACGCUCAGUGGAAGAGGAUGGCCUUCCCUGAAUUGAGACGGACCGGUCUUCAGUCGAGGGUAUACGAGUAGCUGCGCUUCCCUGCUAGAACAAACAAGCUCUCAAGGUCCAUAUUAUUAUUAUUAUUAUUAUUUUAUUUAAGCUUUAAUUUGAGUGAUAGCACAGCGGAUAGGGCAUUUGACUUGCACGCGGCUGACCCAGGUUCGAUU
This 340-nucleotide small nuclear RNA is filed under the name Sorex araneus (European shrew). RNAcentral describes it as "7SK RNA (ENSSARG00000018392.1)". It matches the Rfam family "7SK RNA". From Rfam's summary of the family: 7SK was discovered as an abundant small nuclear RNA in the mid-70s but a possible function has only recently been suggested. Two independent studies have found that 7SK RNA binds the CDK9/cyclin T complex (known as elongation factor P-TEFb). The record is from RNAcentral. Lineage: Eukaryota; Metazoa; Chordata; Mammalia; Eulipotyphla; Soricidae.